RNAcentral lists this ribosomal RNA (462 nucleotides) under uncultured bacterium. Its description in RNAcentral is "partial 16S ribosomal RNA". It matches the Rfam family "Bacterial small subunit ribosomal RNA", at positions 28 to 507 of the family's 1533-position model. The record is from RNAcentral.
GAUAAACGCUGGCGGCGUGCUUAACACAUGCAAGUCGAACGAAGUUUUUCCUUCGGGAGAAACUUAGUGGCGGACGGGUGAGUAACGCGUGGGUAACCUGCCCUGUACAGGGGGACAACAGCUGGAAACGGCUGCUAAUACCGCAUAAGCCCUUAGCACUGCAUGGUGCAUAGGGAAAAGGAGCAAUCCGGUACAGGAUGGACCCGCGUCUGAUUAGCCAGUUGGCAGGGUAACGGCCUACCAAAGCGACGAUCAGUAGCCGAUCUGAGAGGAUGUACGGCCACAGUGGGACUGAGACACGGCCCAGACUCCUACGGGAGGCAGCAGUGGGGAAUAUUGCACAAUGGAGGAAACUCUGAUGCAGCGACGCCGCGUGAGUGAAGAAGUAUUUCGGGAUGUAAAGCUCUAUCAGCAGGGAAGAAAAUGACGGUACCUGACUAAGAAGCACCGGCUAAAUACGUG